UAAUACGGAGGGAGCUAGCGUUGUUCGGAAUUACUGGGCGUAAAGGGCGUGCAGGCUGUUUGGCAAGUCAGAGGUGAAAUCCCUAAGCUCAACUUAGGAACUGCCUUUGAUACUGCCUUGCUAGAGAAUAAGAAAAGUUAGCGGAAUUCCAAGUGUAGAGGUGAAAUUCGUAGAUAUUUGGAAGAACACCAGUGGCGAAAGCGGCUAACUGGCUUAUUUCUGACGCUGAGACGCGAAAGCGUGGGUAGCAAACAGGAUUAGAUACCCUGGUAGUCCACGCCGUAAACGAUGAGUGCUAGCCGUUUGUAUUUUAUAUACAAGUGGUGCAGCUAACGCGUUAAGCACUCCGCCUGGGGAGUACGAUCGCAAGAUUA
RNAcentral lists this ribosomal RNA (374 nucleotides) under uncultured Alphaproteobacteria bacterium. Its description in RNAcentral is "bacterial SSU rRNA". It matches the Rfam family "Bacterial small subunit ribosomal RNA", at positions 521 to 896 of the family's 1533-position model. Lineage: Bacteria; Pseudomonadati; Pseudomonadota; Alphaproteobacteria. The record is from RNAcentral.